GUAAUACGAAGGUGCCGAGCGUUAUUCGGAAUCAUUGGGCUUAAAGGGCACGCAGGCGGGAUAGCAAGUGUCAAGUGAAAUCCCCCGGCUUAACCGGGGAAAUUGCUUGACAAACUGCUGUCCUUGAGACAGGCAGGGGUGCAUGGAACUCUUGGUGGACCGGUGGAAUGCGUAGAUAUCAAGAGGAACGCCGGAGGUGAAGACGGUGCACUGGGCCUGUUCUGACGCUGAGGUGCGAAAGCGUGGGGAGCAAACGGGAUUAGAUACCCCGGUAGUCCACGCCGUAAACGAUGCCUACUAGGUUGUGGGAGUUCUGACGCUCUCACAGCCGCAGCAAAAGUGUUAAGUAGGCCGCCUGGGGAGUACGGCCGCAAGGUUAAAACUCAAAGGAAUUGACGGGGGCUCACACAAGCGGUGGAGCAUGUGGAUUAAUUCGAAGCAACGCGCAGAACCUUACCUGGGUUUGACAUGCUUGGAUGCCUGCCUGGAAACAGGUUAGGCUGCCCUUCGGGGUGAAACUUGCACAGGUGCUGCAUGGCUGUCGUCAGCUCGUGUCGUGAGAUGUCGGGUUAAGUCCUUUAACGAGCGAAACCCUUGCCGUUAGUUGCCAGCGGGUCAUGCCGGGGACUCUAACGGGACUGCCGGUGUUAAACCGGAGGAAGGUGGGGAUGACGUCAAGUCCUCAUGGCCUUUAUGCCCAGGGCUUCACACGUGCUACAAUGGCAGGUACAGAGGGAUGCGAGACCGCAAGGUGGAGCGAAGCCCAAAAAACCUGCCUCAGUUCGGAUUGCAGGCUGUCAAUUCGCCUGCAUGAAGUUGGAAUCGCUAGUAAUCGCGUAUCAGCUAUGACGCGGUGAAUGUGUUCCUGAGCAUUGUACACACCGCCCGUCAAGUGAUGGAAGCCGNGGAGUACCCNGAAGUCGNGAUUGCUAACCGCAAGGGAGCGUCUGCCGACGGUAAGCUCGGUGACUGGCACUAAGUCGUANCAAG
Molecule: ribosomal RNA, 990 nt
Filed under: uncultured organism
Description: bacterial SSU rRNA
Rfam family: Bacterial small subunit ribosomal RNA
Source: RNAcentral